Molecule: long non-coding RNA, 3807 nt
Organism: Astatotilapia calliptera (eastern happy)
Lineage: Eukaryota; Metazoa; Chordata; Actinopteri; Cichliformes; Cichlidae
Source: Ensembl
GCCAUAGGGGCUGCAUCUGCUGUGGCUGCUAGAAGAAAGUUUGACCUCCCGGAAAACGUCCUAGCAACUUGAUCGAAAAGUGACCUAUAACCAAACACAAAUUAACAGCAGCAGCAGCAGCAGCAACAGCAGCGCUGGAUUAUGAUAACUUGGAGUGCUGGAGAAAGGAAGCUGAGAGAGGAACUGCUUGCAGCAGGAAGUAGAGGUCAACACAAGAUUUCGGGGGUUUUGCUCUCUAAUGGACCCACAUGAGGUUUGAUGGACCAGAAGUCCAUCAUGAUCCACAAACAUCUGGAAUAAUGACCGGAGUCUCGGACUAAGGACAUGGAAUACAUUCUGCUGAUCUCAGAGGUAACCGAACUCGCUCCAUUGUUACAUGGCCUGCUCUGUGCAUCCUUUUCCUCAGAACAUUUGAUAUGGAGGUGUCUGUAAGACACUUUUGAGUGACAUUGCCUCUGUCAAAUGGCUGAUUGAAGGAGACACAGAGAGAAAUGCUGUGCUAAUGAAAUCAUCUGACCCACAUCCUUUCGUGCUAUCCAUUUCUCCAAAGACACAGAAAGGGCAUUUAUACAGGUAAACCAUGACUGGUCCCUGAAGUGAAAGAGGGGGUUUUUCAGAAGGAAGAGGAGCAUCCAUUAUUUACUAUACUGAGGUUGCUAGACACUUAAGAGAUAAUGCAGUGCUUCAAGCAUACAAAACAUAGAGCCUCCUUGGUGCUGGUGAGGCCAUUGUUGUGUGUUUUGAACAUGUCUGUUUCCAUCCAUACUGACAGAUGAAAAAGAAUGUGUCUCCCAAAGGUUCAGAAGCUUGGACAGAGAUAGACAGAGAACGGAGGAGAGGCAGGCAAUGGGAUGGUGGAGAGAUGUGUUUGUGUGUGUGUUACAUCUCUGUGGAUGUUCGUUUUUGUGUCUGUGCAUCUGUAUGUCUGUUUAUUACCCCCAGUUUGUUUUUCGGUAUCUGCUCAUGCACUUAUAUGUUGAAAAACAUAUCCAGUCAUAGACUGCAUAAUGCAAAAUAAACAGUCUUAUUUAGUGCAUGUGCCUGUCUAUACAUACAUCAUGUUCCUGCUGACUUUGUAUAAAUAUUCUCUUCCAGUUCUAAUAGACUUCAGUCAGGUCUUAUUCUCUAUAGAUUAGCAGCAUCACUUUCUCCCUCCUGGAGACUGGAAGCAUCUGACUGUUGUCUACUGGGAGUAGUUAGCAGAAGGAGACUAAGGCAUAAAACUCCUCCUACAACUUGGGGCAACACCAGAUACUACUUUCUGCCUUUGUCAAUUUCCUGGGGGACACUUUGACAUGAAAUCCUUUUUAUUUUUUUGUGGAAGAGGAGAGAGCACUCCCCAAAAUUCCAGUGUUUUUCUGCAUAAAUGCGCAUUGUGAUGGAGAGCACGACAACUAUACAUGUUUACAGAUCCGCUCAGGGAAAUUCCAAGUCACCGAACAAUAUCCGUAAACUAAAAUAUAGAUGUGUGCAUGUGUGUGUAUUUUAUAACAUAAAUGAUGAAAAUAAUGACAAGGGGACCUAUUAUGCUCAUAUUUCAAUGCUUAUGCUAUUAUGCUCAUAUUUGGAAUCUACUAGUGUUUAUGGCUAAAACAUAUUGGUUCAGUCCCUGAAUUCAACCUCUGUAUAAUAAAAAAGAAAAAAAAUGUUUUUAACUCCUCUCCCUUUAAGGCCAACCUCCUUUUAAAUAAACUGUCUUCUGAUUGGCUACUCCUCACAAGCAGAAAGCAGGCCAGGCUGCUGUGCUAACAGCCAAAGAUGUUGGACUGAGGUGACCGCAUUAAGGAUGAUAUCAUUGUCUUUGACAUCACAUAGAUCCAAGACUGCAACAAAACUUGCACUUUCACUGUUUGAGACUUUGGCCAUCAACCAGUAUCAUAAAGCUAAAAAUGGGAAGAUCAUAUUUCACAACUCUUGGGUCUGCUUUCUCAAAAUGUCUCUCUCUGAAUUUUACAGUCAAUGAAAUGUUACGACAACCAAGAAAACGAAGGCUAAAACUAUUAAAAAUGCCCUAGUUCGUAAAAGAUGCAAAACUCUCUUUGGGACAUUUGAAAUAAUAAAGUUAUAAGAACAUAUUACAAUAUUUUACCCUUUAAGUAUUCAUCUUGAAGCACGAGUUUUCACAGUGUGCUUCAUCUCAGUCUUUCUGUUUUUUCUUGAAAUAUUUUACACUUUGGUUGAAAGUUUUUGAAAGAGGCAAAUACAGCGGAUCAUCCUUAUAGGCAUAAAACUGCAGUGUCAGCAGAGGACAUCAGGAGGAUGCAUAGAAAGGCACAUGUAGUUUUGACUGCGAUCAGCUGCCACAAACAGACAGGCAGGCAGUGUUUGCCCUUGAGGAGUUGUGAACAGACAGGGUGGUGUGUUUGAGUUGUCUGAAUCCACCUCCCUUCAUCUUUUGGAGUCAGGCUGAGUUGGACUGCUGAUGGCCCAGGGACCCCAUGCCAGCCCUGAACUAUUUUGUACUGUCAGCCAAACAUCAGACAAACUUGUUCAAGGAAACAUGUCUGGCCAAAACACUACAUCCAUAAAUUCUUGUUUUCUCUGGAAAAAAACGUUGGGGAGUUACUGAUUUAUUGCAGAUUGUAAAGGUGUAGUGCACUCUUACAGCUAUUUCAAGUGGUCAGUUAAAUCAGCAAACAGCAGUCACAGGUUCAUAAAAUGACAUGCUUUGUUGUCUUUGUAGUCUGAUGCAGCUGACGAGACACUCAGCCACCCUUACUGUCUCAAAUGACCCCAGCUGUUCUGUACAGCCUAUACAUUUGUAUUGGGCCCCUUAAUACCUUCCAUGCUUGUCAACGAGCUCUAUGGUUUCGAGGAAAUUUAAUACCAUAAUGUCUUUUUGGAGGAAGGGAGUGUCGGGUAUGGCAGGAGUAAUGGAGGAAAGGCUGGAAAUGCAGGUAACCCAGGUUAGGCUGAGGGUACAGGGAUCCGGUAAGGCGUUCCCCAGACCUUAGAGUCUUCUAGGCUUCUCUAUUAGAGAAUAAUAAGCAGCUGUAACCCUGAGACACUCCCAGGCCUGUGUCCUCAGCUACAAAAACCUCCACUGGGCUUCUUAUCAGGUUCUAAGGAUAUCAUGUAAGACAAUACAUGUGAGAAGUGCAGGGAGAACAAUAGGAGGAAAGUGCAGUGUGAUAUGAGGGGGACUAAUGUCAGCGGAUAUUGCUGAGGCCUUUGUCGCCUUCAAGUACACUGGGAACUCGCAGCUCACUGAGCUCCUUUCAUUCAAGGCUCAUGCUCUGGGAUGUGACGAAACUCUACAACAAAUGCCGUCCCUCACGCUUGAUGGCAAACUGUAAACACGGAGGUUAUGUGUUUGUUGUGUAUGAAGCAUAACUCACUCUUUCCCCAAUCUUGGUGGAAAAAUUGUGUUUACUGAAAGCUAAAGAGUAUUUCCUAAACGUUGUGUGCUGUACAUUUGUUUCCACGCAGCAUCAAUAUUUUUCUUUAAAACUGUAAUUAAUAAACUCCUGUGAUAAAAUCUAACACUGCUGUAAUGAUAAACUCAUAUUUCUCUUCUAUUUCUUUUUCUUUGUAUUUCUCUUUUUUUAGGUAAAUAAGUUAUCCUGAUUAAGAAGAACGGAGCCAAACUUUCAGCAAUACAGAGUCUUACAACAGCCUGAAAAUAGUACUUACUGUGCCUUUGUUCUGAUGGGUAUCAUAUUUUCUUUUCUUUUUUUUAAUGGAAAAACACUUCUUAAAAUAAGAUGAAAAUAUUCUACACAUUAAAACAUGUAUUUAUUUCAUGUCAGUGAUUGAAUUUAACAAGUAUAUUUUCUGACAGCUAAAUAAAGACUUUUUCCCCCAUAA